GUGUCAGCAGCCGCGGUAAUACGGAGUGUGCAAGCGUUACUCGGAAUCACUGGGCAUAAAGGGCGUGUAGGCGGGCUUUCAAGUCGGUUGUGAAAUCCCUCAGCUCAACUGAGGAACUGCAUCCGAUACUGUUUGUCUUGAGGACGAGAGGGGAGAGUGGAACUUCUGGUGGAGCGGUGAAAUGCGUAGAUAUCAGAAGGAACGCCGGUGGCGAAAGCGACUCUCUGGCUCGUAUCUGACGCUGAAACGCGAAAGCUUGGGUAGCAAACGGGAUUAGAUACCCCCGUAGUCC
RNAcentral lists this ribosomal RNA (292 nucleotides) under uncultured bacterium. Its description in RNAcentral is "partial 16S ribosomal RNA". It matches the Rfam family "Bacterial small subunit ribosomal RNA", at positions 505 to 796 of the family's 1533-position model. The record is from RNAcentral.